GCCGAUGUAGCUCAGGGGUAGAGCAAUUCACUCGUAAUGAAUAGGUCGUGAGUUCGAAUCUCACCAUCGGCUCCA
This 75-nucleotide transfer RNA is filed under the name Verrucomicrobiales bacterium. Its description in RNAcentral is "tRNA-Thr". It matches the Rfam family "tRNA". From Rfam's summary of the family: Transfer RNA (tRNA) molecules are approximately 80 nucleotides in length. Their secondary structure includes four short double-helical elements and three loops (D, anti-codon, and T loops). Further hydrogen bonds mediate the characteristic L-shaped molecular structure. tRNAs have two regions of fundamental functional importance: the anti-codon, which is responsible for specific mRNA codon recognition, and the 3' end, to which the tRNAs corresponding amino acid is attached (by aminoacyl-tRNA synthetases). tRNAs cope with the degeneracy of the genetic code in two manners: having more than one tRNA (with a specific anti-codon) for a particular amino acid; and 'wobble' base-pairing, i.e. permitting non-standard base-pairing at the 3rd anti-codon position. The record is from RNAcentral. Lineage: Bacteria; Pseudomonadati; Verrucomicrobiota; Verrucomicrobiia; Verrucomicrobiales.